GAUUAUUUCGGACUUAGGAGUAUGCCCGAAUUGGGUCUUGGAUUACUCAAGAGCAUUUUGGCGCCUGUUAUAGAAGUUAGCAUUUUGGAUGAAAUUUUAUAAGUUUGGAUUGAAGUGCAUUUCAGUGUUAUCGAUGUCUAUUUGGGAUUCCGAUUCUGUGAAUAACUCUAUAUGGUGAUUCAUGGAGUUGGGAGCUCGAUUGAAAGUGAAUUCGGAGGUCCGUAGGUCAUUUUGGAGUCAUUUGGCUAAAUAUAGAAAUUUGGAGUGGACUUUUUGAUAUCGGGGUCAGAAUCCGAUUCUGAAAGUGGCAGUAGGUCUGUAAUGUCAAAUAUAACUUG
RNAcentral lists this long non-coding RNA (338 nucleotides) under Nicotiana benthamiana. RNAcentral's name for it is "long non-coding RNA (NBEN_LNC032199)". The record is from RNAcentral. Lineage: Eukaryota; Viridiplantae; Streptophyta; Magnoliopsida; Solanales; Solanaceae.